This 821-nucleotide ribosomal RNA is filed under the name uncultured fungus. RNAcentral describes it as "eukaryotic LSU rRNA". The stretch from base 188 to 342 matches the Rfam family "5.8S ribosomal RNA". Lineage: Eukaryota; Fungi. The record is from RNAcentral.
GGAAGGAUCAUUAUCGAAUCUGAUCUGAAGAGGUAGAGAGACUGUCGCAUGUGUGCACGUCCCCUUACCUUUUCUAUCUACACACACCUUGUGCACCUAUUGUAGAUCAUCCUCUGGAUGAUCUAUGUUCUCAUCACGUCCAACACACCGAUGUAUGUCUAGAAUGUAAAUCUAAAUAUAUAUAUACAACUUUCAGCAACGGAUCUCUUGGCUCUCGCAUCGAUGAAGAACGCAGCGAAUUGCGAUAAGUAAUGUGAAUUGCAGAUUUCCAGUGAAUCAUCGAAUCUUUGAACGCACCUUGCGCUCCUUGGUAUUCCGAGGAGCAUGCCUGUUUGAGUGUCAUCGAAUUGUCAACCAUUCUCUCUUGAGAAAAGAAAGAUGGCUUGGAGGUUGGGGGCUGCUGGCAGGACUUGUCAGCUCUCCUUAAAUGCAUUAGUGAUCGAAUUGGGCUAAGUCUUUGACGUGCAUGGCCUUGGACGUGAUAAUGAUCGUCAUGGCUGGAGCGUCUUCUCCUAGGUUUAUGCACAUAAGAGAUUGCUUUCAAAUCAGAAUUUCGGAGGAGAAAGCUGAGGGGUCAGAGUUGGUAGUCUCGUAUUUAGUCUAUCGAGCUUUAGCUACUAGGCAGUCUGUUCUAACGAGAAAAGGCUGGCGAACGCGAGCGAGAAAGACUAGGAAUGAGACGGGCGAUCAGGACCUCUCUUUCUCUCCUCCAUUUUCAGAGACUUGACCUCAAAUCAGGUAGGACUACCCGCUGAACUUAAGCAUAUCAAUAAGCGGAGGAAAAGAAACUAACAAGGAUUCCCCUAGUAACUGCGAGUGAA